UGCCUUUGAGAGCUCUUGCUGGGCUUCUA
RNAcentral lists this small RNA (29 nucleotides) under Bombyx mori (domestic silkworm). RNAcentral describes it as "ovarian small RNA-33915". Lineage: Eukaryota; Metazoa; Arthropoda; Insecta; Lepidoptera; Bombycidae. The record is from RNAcentral.